CUGACAGCCCUGGAGACUGAAGUCUUUUAUUCACAGACCAUCUACCAUGCAGGCUGUGAUGGUGCACGUUUCCCCCCACUACCCCACAACAUGCCUCAAUCUGUUCUGGAACAAUCACUUUUAGCAGAGAAAGGGGUAGGUUAGUCUCCAGGCUCAUGCAGUUCUGGGUUUCU
This 173-nucleotide small RNA is filed under the name Chelonoidis abingdonii (Abingdon island giant tortoise). Its description in RNAcentral is "TUC338 (ENSCABG00000022325.1)". The record is from RNAcentral. Lineage: Eukaryota; Metazoa; Chordata; Testudines; Testudinidae.